AGAGGGGGCAAGCGUUGUUCGGAAUUAUUGGGCGUAAAGGGCGCGUAGGCGGCCAUCCAAGUCGGAUGUGAAAUCCCUCGGCUCAACCGAGGAACUGCACUCGAUACUGGUUGGCUCGAGUCCGGGAGGGGAUGGUGGAAUUCCCAGUGUAGCGGUGAAAUGCGUAGAUAUUGGGAAGAACACCGGUGGCGAAGGCGACCAUCUGGACCGGAACUGACGCUGAGGCGCGAAAGCCAGGGGAGCGAAUGGGAUUAGAUACCCCGGUAGUCCUGGCUGUAAACGAUGGGCACUUGGUGUGGCGGGUACUGACCCCCGCCGUGYCGAARCUAACGCGUUAAKUGCCCCGCCUGGGGAGUACGGUCGCAAGGCUG
This 371-nucleotide ribosomal RNA is filed under the name uncultured bacterium. RNAcentral describes it as "bacterial SSU rRNA". It matches the Rfam family "Bacterial small subunit ribosomal RNA", at positions 527 to 896 of the family's 1533-position model. The record is from RNAcentral.